This 314-nucleotide ribosomal RNA is filed under the name uncultured bacterium. RNAcentral's name for it is "partial 16S ribosomal RNA". It matches the Rfam family "Bacterial small subunit ribosomal RNA", at positions 499 to 807 of the family's 1533-position model. The record is from RNAcentral.
UUAUAAGAGACAGCAGUCGCCGCGGUAAUACGAAGGGUGCAAGCGUUACUCGGAAUUACUGGGCGUAAAGCGUGCGUAGGUGGUGGUUUAAGUCCGUUGUGAAAGCCCUGGGCUCAACCUGGGAAUUGCAGUGGAUACUGGGUCACUAGAGAGUGGUAGAGGAUAGUGGAAUUUCCGGUGUAGCAGUGAAAUGCGUAGAGAUCGGAAGGAACAUCUGUGGCGAAGGCGACUAUCUGGGCCAACACUGACACUGAGGCACGAAAGCGUGGGGAGCAAACAGGAUUAGAUACCCCCGUAGUCCCUGUCUCUUAUAC